This 804-nucleotide ribosomal RNA is filed under the name uncultured bacterium. RNAcentral describes it as "SSU rRNA". It matches the Rfam family "Bacterial small subunit ribosomal RNA", at positions 56 to 863 of the family's 1533-position model. The record is from RNAcentral.
UGCAGUCGAACGGUAGUCCUUCGGGAUGAGAGUGGCGAACGGGUGAGUAAUAUAUCGGAACAUGUCCGUAAGUGGGGGAUAACGUAGAGAAAUUUACGCUAAUACCGCAUAUUCCCUGAGGGGGAAAGGAGGGGAUCGCAAGACCUUUCGCUAACGGAGUGGCCGAUAUCGGAUUAGCUAGUAGGUGAGGUAAAGGCUCACCUAGGCGACGAUCCGUAGCGGGUCUGAGAGGAUGAUCCGCCACACUGGAACUGAGACACGGUCCAGACUCCUACGGGAGGCAGCAGUGGGGAAUUUUGGACAAUGGGCGCAAGCCUGAUCCAGCCAUACCGCGUGAGUGAAGAAGGCCUUCGGGUUGUAAAGCUCUUUCAGCCGGAAAGAAAUCCUGCUUACUAAUACUAAGUGGGGAUGACGGUACCGGAAGAAGAAGCACCGGCUAACUACGUGCCAGCAGCCGCGGUAAUACGUAGGGUGCGAGCGUUAAUCGGAAUUACUGGGCGUAAAGCGUGCGCAGGCGGCAUGAUAAGCCAGAUGUGAAAUCCCCGGGCUUAACCUGGGAACUGCAUUUGGAACUGUCAAGCUAGAGUAUAGCAGAGGGGGGUAGAAUUCCACGUGUAGCAGUGAAAUGCGUAGAGAUGUGGAGGAAUACCGAUGGCGAAGGCAGCCCCCUGGGUUAAUACUGACGCUCAUGCACGAAAGCGUGGGGAGCAAACAGGAUUAGAUACCCUGGUAGUCCACGCCCUAAACGAUGUCAACUAGGUGUUGGGGAAGGAGACUUCUUUAGUACCGCAGCUAACGCGUGAA